RNAcentral lists this non-coding RNA (30 nucleotides) under Rattus norvegicus (Norway rat). The record is from RNAcentral. Lineage: Eukaryota; Metazoa; Chordata; Mammalia; Rodentia; Muridae.
UGUGUAGGUUCAGGAAUUUUCCUGGUGCUA